GCGUUCGUGGCGCAGUUGGAUAGCGCACUCGACUCCGACUCGAGAGGUCGCAGGUUCGAAUCCUGUCGAGCGCA
RNAcentral lists this transfer RNA (74 nucleotides) under Breznakia blatticola. RNAcentral describes it as "tRNA-Arg". It matches the Rfam family "tRNA". From Rfam's summary of the family: Transfer RNA (tRNA) molecules are approximately 80 nucleotides in length. Their secondary structure includes four short double-helical elements and three loops (D, anti-codon, and T loops). Further hydrogen bonds mediate the characteristic L-shaped molecular structure. tRNAs have two regions of fundamental functional importance: the anti-codon, which is responsible for specific mRNA codon recognition, and the 3' end, to which the tRNAs corresponding amino acid is attached (by aminoacyl-tRNA synthetases). tRNAs cope with the degeneracy of the genetic code in two manners: having more than one tRNA (with a specific anti-codon) for a particular amino acid; and 'wobble' base-pairing, i.e. permitting non-standard base-pairing at the 3rd anti-codon position. Lineage: Bacteria; Bacillati; Bacillota; Erysipelotrichia; Erysipelotrichales; Erysipelotrichaceae. The record is from RNAcentral. RNAcentral also lists the same sequence under 1 other name.